CACUGCAGAUGGCAAGAACUUUGGAUGCAGCUUGAAAUAGAAAAGCUCACCCAACGUUCAUGACAGACUGACAGCCAAUUAUCAGCAUCUCUUUUCUUCACAGAGUUCCUUUUUUGUACAUCUUCCAUUCCGAUUCGGGACUUAAAAAGGAGGCCAUUUUUCCAGACAGUGAUUUCUUCCAAUAUCUCAUCUCCCGGUGCCUUUUUCAUGCGUGUGUUCAUUUUUUUUUAACACCGAGGCAGGAUCUCCCAUGGGGUUACAGUCUUGCAAGCCUUACAACUGCUGCCUACAAAGCAAAGAGGAAUGCAGAGCGGCUGAUGUCUGCCCCUAUGUUUGUGAGGAUUGGAGAUAUUGCUCUGACCGCUGUUGUGACGUCUGCUGCCAGAUGUGCGUGGACCUGUGCUCUGGCUUGUGUUCAGGAGACUGCAGCUAUACGUUUUGCACAAUCUGUCUCGCUCUGGUGCAGAACUGCCUUUUACGUUUCACCGCCCGACAAAGUGAAACAUCAGAGGCACGGACUGCAACCCCAGAACAGCUUGCAUAGCUGAGCGUCGGAGACAAAAGCAUGACCAGAAGCCUUGAAAUAUCUCACAGACUGGCGACCUGUCCAGGGUGAACCCCGCCUCUCGC
This is a long non-coding RNA of Gambusia affinis (western mosquitofish), 630 nucleotides long. RefSeq lists it as uncharacterized. The transcript has 3 exons. NCBI's taxonomy places the organism in Eukaryota, Metazoa, Chordata, Actinopteri, Cyprinodontiformes, Poeciliidae. The record is from RefSeq and is a predicted model, not a curated record.